UGCAAAUCAGGACAAGAGCAUCAAAUUGUGACAUGAAAAUGGAUAUAUUAGAAAUGUUGUAUUGGUAACUUGUAGCCUUAAAAAUACAUUUAUUGGCAAUCAUACCACAUCUUCUUUUUUUAUCUACAAAAUAUUAAUUUUAACGGUAUCAGGUCGGUUCACGCCCAAUACACUUUCACACCCUACACGUUCGUACCCAAGGC
Molecule: long non-coding RNA, 203 nt
Filed under: Mytilus galloprovincialis (Mediterranean mussel)
Lineage: Eukaryota; Metazoa; Mollusca; Bivalvia; Mytilida; Mytilidae
Source: RNAcentral